UCCGACUCCGGAUCUGUUGACGUUUAACCGGAUUCCUUGGCUGCUGCUCAGAGCACCGAUUCCCGGCAGGCCUGGGCAGAGGCAGGACCCACGGGAGGGCGCCGCAUGGCCAGCCAGGGUGGCGGUGGCCGGUCCGGUGAGGCAGCCAGGCUAAUCCAGCCACUGCCCUCUCUGAGCCGCCUUCUCUCUUGACUCGCCUCUCAUCGACUUUGCUCCGCCAGGGCUGUUGUCCCCUCCCGUGCUGUAGCGACCGCCUAGAUGUGCCGUGUCCGACACAGAGACCCCUCCCAUGCAAACGCCACUGAGCACGUGAAAGGUCGCCAGAUCCCAAGGAGAUUUGAAGGUGUGUACAAAAUAAAAAGAAUGAAAAA
This is a long non-coding RNA of Herpailurus yagouaroundi (jaguarundi), 371 nucleotides long. RefSeq lists it as uncharacterized. NCBI's taxonomy places the organism in Eukaryota, Metazoa, Chordata, Mammalia, Carnivora, Felidae. The record is from RefSeq and is a predicted model, not a curated record. The transcript has 2 exons.